AAAAAAUUAGAGUGCUUAAAGCGAGCUAGUGCUUGAAUAAAUUAGCAUGGAAUAAUAAAAUAGGACGGCAUGGUUCUAUUUUGUUGGUUUCUAGGAUCACCGUAAUGAUUAAUAGGGAUAGUUGGGGGCAUUAGUAUUCAAUUGUCUGAGGUGCCAAGGAUGUUUUCAUUAAUCAAAAACGAAAGUGAGGGGAUCGAAGACGAUCAGAUACCGUCGUAGUCUUAACCAUAAAUUAUGCCGACUAGGAAUCGGACGACGUUAAUUUUAUAAUGACUCGUUCGGCAACCUUACG
Molecule: ribosomal RNA, 292 nt
Filed under: uncultured Glomeromycotina
Lineage: Eukaryota; Fungi; Glomeromycota
Description: partial 18S ribosomal RNA
Rfam family: Eukaryotic small subunit ribosomal RNA
Source: RNAcentral